GACGAACGCUGGCGGCGUGCUUAACACAUGCAAGUCGAACGGUGAAGCGCUUUCCUUUUUGGUUGGUGUGGAUGAGUGGCGAACGGGUGAGUAACACGUGAGUAACCUGCCCCCUUCUUCUGGAUAACCGCAUGAAAGUGUGGCUAAUACGGGAUAUUCUGCGCCUGCUGCAUGGUGGGUGUGGGAAAGAUUGUGCCUUUGGGUGUUUUCGGUGGGGGAUGGGCCCGCGGCCUAUCAGCUUGUUGGUGGGGUGAUGGCCUACCAAGGCGGUGACGGGUAGCCGGCCUGAGAGGGUGGACGGUCACACUGGGACUGAGACACGGCCCAGACUGCUACGGGAGGCAGCAGUGGGGAAUAUUGCACAAUGGGCGCAAGCCUGAUGCAGCGACGCCGCGUGAGGGAUGGAGGCCUUCGGGUUGUGAACCUCUUUCGCCAGUGAAGCAGGCCUGCUCCUUGUGGGUGGGUUGACGGUAGCUGGAUAAGAAGCGCCGGCUAACUACGUG
RNAcentral lists this ribosomal RNA (503 nucleotides) under uncultured bacterium. Its description in RNAcentral is "partial 16S ribosomal RNA". It matches the Rfam family "Bacterial small subunit ribosomal RNA", at positions 28 to 507 of the family's 1533-position model. The record is from RNAcentral.